Molecule: ribosomal RNA, 509 nt
Filed under: uncultured Actinomycetes bacterium
Lineage: Bacteria; Bacillati; Actinomycetota; Actinomycetes
Description: bacterial SSU rRNA
Rfam family: Bacterial small subunit ribosomal RNA
Source: RNAcentral
UGGGGAAUCUUGCGCAAUGCGCGAAAGCGUGACGCAGCAACGCCGCGUGGGGGAAGAAGGCCUUCGGGUCGUAAACCCCUUUCAGUUGGGACGAAGCUUCGCGGGUUAAUAGCCUGCUGGAGUGACGGUACCUUCAGAAGAAGCCCCGGCUAACUACGUGCCAGCAGCCGCGGUAAUACGUAGGGGGCUAGCGUUGUCCGGAAUCAUUGGGCGUAAAGCGCGUGUAGGCGGUCCGGUAAGUCCGCUGUGAAAGUCGGGGGCUCAACCCUCGGAUGCCGGUGGAUACUGUCGGGCUUGAGUACGGAAGAGGCGAGUGGAAUUCCUGGUGUAGCGGUGAAAUGCGCAGAUAUCAGGAGGAACACCAAAUUGCGAAGGCAGCUCGCUGGGACGUUACUGACGCUGAGACGCGAAAGCGUGGGGAGCAAACAGGAUUAGAUACCCUGGUAGUCCACGCUGUAAACGAUGGGCACUAGGUGUGGGGGGUGUCGGACUCCCUCCGUGCCGAAGCU